GACACGACUUUAAGUUGAGAUAAGAUGCUUUUUAAUGGAUUUUAGUUUAAUAAUAUUUCAAUUUAACUUGUGGAGAGCUUUAGCAACUAUUUUAAAUCAAAUAUUUUAUUAUUUUAAAUCAAGUAUUUCUAUUUUGUUUUGACAAAAAAAAAUUUUUUUCAAAAAAGAAAGCGAUUUGGCUACGAGGAUUGCUAGCUUUUUUAAGUUAACAGAAAGCUAUCGAUGUUUGUGAAGAUAAAGACAGUGAUUUGGCUACGAGGACAGUCACUAUGGAUAUUUUACGAAACCAACGAUUUAUAAUAGAAUUAAGCAUAAAUCUGGGACCUAAUUGGAUGGCUUUAGGUCGUGGCUUAUUAAUAAACGAUAAAGAGUUAGAAAAAAUAGAAAGUGAAGUUGAUGGAAUAUUGAAUCAAGCGUAUAAAAUGUUACAAAUAUGGCGAGAAAGCAGUAGAAAUCCUUCAUUAGAGGAAUUAAAAAUUGCUUUGAGAAAUAUUAAAAGAUUUGAUUUAGAAGAAUUUGUCACGAAUUUAGAAAAUGCAUACAUAUAUCUAUUUUUUUAGUAUUUUAACCACCUUUAAAAAUAUUUUUAAACAUUCUAUUUUACAUUUAUUUUUUGACUUUAUUUUAUAUUUUGUAGAAUUGGCUUGAGAAAUAAUUUUUAUUAUAAG
Long non-coding RNA from Hydra vulgaris (swiftwater hydra), 668 nucleotides. RefSeq lists it as uncharacterized. The record is from RefSeq and is a predicted model, not a curated record. NCBI's taxonomy places the organism in Eukaryota, Metazoa, Cnidaria, Hydrozoa, Anthoathecata, Hydridae.